AACAAUUUUCUUUUAAAAUUAUAAAUACAAAUAGGUACACUACGGAGGUAAAUGAAAUGUAUUCUAAAAAAUUUGUUAUUAACAAAUAAUUUACAACAUAUUUGUUUGCAAUUUUCGUAGUAAUUUGAUGGUUUUAAAACCGCGCGAAUAUGGUUUUUAUGAAUCACGAUGUAUACUGAGCUACUUACAUUCGAGUCUGUUUUAAAGGAGGCUAGUAACGACUCGGAUAAAGUAACAUUAUUUACUUUAGCCGCUUUGCAAACGAUUCCUUUGGCUUUUUCGCGUUUUUCGUUGGCGAGAAGCCAUCGAACGGACUCUGGUAUAAACCUAAAAAUCAACUUGUGCAAUAGUAGAUUACAUGCGAGGUGGAAAAUGACAUUUCAAAUGACUAUUAGUAUAGAGAUUGUGAAUAAAAAUUAAUACAAUUGAUAAUUUACCAGUAAUAUAUGAAAAAUAAAAUCGACGGACUAGACACAAUGAGCUGUAACAAAACCCAGUCUUUGGUGUACCACGCGACAAGCGCGACCACAGCUUCACCCACAGCGUAAAAAUAGUUUAACACAAUUCCGGUGAUUUCCCGCUUCCUUUUGCCCACCAUUUCGACACCUGUUUGAAUUCAUGAAACUAAAAUUAUUGUAAUUUGAAUUAAUUACCGAUAAUGAAAGCCAAGGGGUAGACUCCGGCCGUCCCCAUUGCGUUGACAAACAUUAAAACAACAAAAGUGAUAUAUUCGGGGGAGACAACUUGGGCACAUCCUGACACACUCAUGAUAAGAAUACAAAUAAUAAAAAUCCUCUUGCGUCCAUACCUACGAGAAUUUUUACUGAUUUUUACAAUAGUGGAAAUUAGUCACCUAUCGGCUAAAAUCCCAAAUAAUCCCGAUCCCACGAUAAUCCCGGCGAAGUGACUCGUCCCCACGAAGGAGAGCUUCCAUUGGUUUUCCACACAAGUCAAGUUCCACUAAAAAAAAAUUAAAAAUAUUUUAAUCCUGAGAAUGUAGGUAACGCCAGAGGCGACCGAAGAGCGCCGAGGGCAUUUUCAUUAAUUGGGAGCAAAAAUGCUUUGUUAUUUUUACUCACAUCGUUUACUAUUGUCCGUUCCUCGGUGUCAAACACCCACUCGUUGCACGUUUCGGUCGCAUUCGUGAACAACUCUCUCGAACAAGGUGCGAUUUUGAGUCGAGUAUUUCGCUGGAGUCGCCCCCAGGAAUGGCAAAGUCGCGCCAAGGGACCUCGUAAGUGGCGUUUUCUGCAUCUUCGCACUCGGGAAUGAAGCAUCUGAAACGGUGAUUACCGCCAUUGCAAGCAAUUCAAAAAUCAAACCUGUAAUUUGGGAUUCCCGCCGUGAACACGUAACUUAGACUAUUCGCCGCAGCGAAGAAUACUGGAAGACACACCAGGAGGUAUGUCGUGAUUUGGUAUUUGCCCAACUCGCCCAACUCUUCCAACAUAUCGUCAAAGUCCAUGGUAAAUCUGCAAAUCACACGAUUUGAACAAUGCAAGUGAUAAGAUUGUUUAAACUUUAUAAACACAGAUUUGAAACCUCUGUUUGACAAUAAUAGAAAAUCUUAUCAAGUUUUUUUUUUAUUAUUUGCAACACAAUUGUUGAAAAAAUAACUGUUAUAUAAUUGGAAAUAUUUAUGUAACGCUGCUGCAAGGCCAAACACUGAAAAUAGCUAAUUUGUGAAACGAAAAUUACUUACUGCAACUUUAUCUCGUAACACAAGAAUGAAAACUAUCAGUAUUUGAUUGCAAGUGUGUCAUAUAAGUAGACGGAAUUUAGUUAACGAUCUGUGAUAAAUCAGAGAUGAAUUCUUUCUUAUAUUAAAUUUGUUUGGUUUUUCUUUUACGCGGGAUUCAAAAUGUGAGAGGGAUUUCCACCCAUUUGGUGGUAGGGAAAUGACUAAUUUGUAAACAGUGAUGAUUAGAUGUUUUCAUAAUUUUUAAAUCUGAGAUAAUUAAGUAAUUACAUACAAACACGCAAGAAAAAUUCCUGCAUCUGCAAUUUUUUGAUCAUUUGAUCUUUAUUAACUUUUAUUUUCUACUCAAUGUUAAAGAGUGCUUGUACCAACUAAUUUUAGUAGAUAAAGUAGUCUUUUAUCGUCUAGUGAAAUAAAGUAAUUUUUAUCUACUGUUUAUAUUCAAAAAAUUCUGGUAGGUGAGUACAAAAUAAAACGAAAUAUUAUACACGACGAAAGAUUGUUUAUCGUCUUGUGUAAUAAAUAACUAUUCCUCCAGAUAAAGUUCUAAUUUCAUGCCUCAGGAAUAAUAGUUGUUUAUGUAUCAAGGGAAUAAAUAUAGGUAAUACAUUUUCAUUCCCAACAGACUAAAUUAAUAAUAUCAUAAAAAAUGAUACAUUUGUCAAUUGUAAUUUUAAGAGUUAAAAUUGGUAUCAAGGAGUUUGUUUAUGUCAAAAAACACUCAAAAGAUUAAAUAUGCUUAUAUUUCCGGUUUUUAAGAGUAAAAAUCGGUGUUUGGUUUAUUUUAUUCCCAAGGAAUAAAGUACCAGAUUAUUAGUCAAAAGGGGCGCGUUAUUCCCUGUUGGGAAGAAAUAGUAGAUUACAUACCGAAAUGGAAGGUGCGUCAUUACCAAGCCGAAAUCUGAUCAAAGCGCGAAACGACCACCAAAUUUUGUAUACUAUUUUAUUCACAAUUAUCCUCUUUAAAAAUGAGAAAGCCAAUAAGAAUUUAUCAAAUUUUGAGUUUGACAGUUCAGAUUUUGAAGCAGUCACUUUCUUAUCAAUUUUCGGGUUUGAAAGUGGUCAUUUCCCAACCUAAACUGUCAUUAUUACAUAUCAACUGAUAAGAACGUAACCACUUUCCAAGAACUUUUACUCUUAAAAUUGUAAUUGAAUGAAUUGAAUAUUUUGACAAAUUUACAUUUUCUCAUGUUGUUUUUAAUUUAGACAGUUGGGAGGAAUAACUUUAAUUUUUAUGUUUAAGAGAUUUAUUUAUUAUAGCAAAUUGGAAAAAAAAGUGUAUAAUAAAGUCAAUGCCUUUAAUUUAUUUUUUUUAUGAAUAAUUUUAAUAUAAAGUCGCUAUUUGGGGAUCUGUCAGUAACAGUUGGUAAUAAAAAAUCUUUGUUAAAUGACAA
Molecule: long non-coding RNA, 3093 nt
Organism: Tribolium madens (black flour beetle)
Lineage: Eukaryota; Metazoa; Arthropoda; Insecta; Coleoptera; Tenebrionidae
Exons: 2
Source: RefSeq, a predicted model, not a curated record